ACUUUCUUAUGAUCAUAAACAAGCUUCUGUCCAAGUUUGGUAGAAAUUCAGUAUAGUUUAAGAAAGUUAUUAAAAUUUCAAAAACUUUAACCACAGAGUGAAUAUUUGUGGACGCCGCCGACGACGACGCCGACGACGACGGAAUGUAGGAUCGCUUAGUCUCGCUUUUUCGACUAAAGUCGAAGGCUCGACAAAAAUCUCUCACCUUUCACUCAAAAUAUGGAUAACUUUAUGGCAAGGGGUCUAUAAUUCUCUUUGACAGCUACAGACAUAAUAAUUUUGUACCUUUUUCGGCUAGACAAAAUCCUUUACGCUAACUUAAAAUGCACGAGUCAAACACUACCCAAAUUUGUUUUACAAGUAAUUUCUUCUCUCUUCUUAUAUUAAAAAUAUAGGAUAUUUUAUGAUUUUUUUCGAUGUAUUGUUUAUCCACAUUGGUCUAUAUACUAGUAUGAAGAAGAAAAAAAAUCAAUUACUAGUAACAAGAUUAGGCCCUAACACUUAAUAUUACAAACAUGUGUUACCCCCUGGUGCUGCUGAAGAUAAUAUUACACACACACACACUAAUAUUAUAGUGAUAUGCGCAUUGUAUUGGCCGGACAAAUAGUCCUGGUACUAUUCGUCCGGCUAGCCGGACAAAUAGCAACUGCC
This 651-nucleotide long non-coding RNA is filed under the name Mytilus galloprovincialis (Mediterranean mussel). The record is from RNAcentral. Lineage: Eukaryota; Metazoa; Mollusca; Bivalvia; Mytilida; Mytilidae.